Molecule: long non-coding RNA, 1369 nt
Filed under: Homo sapiens (human)
Lineage: Eukaryota; Metazoa; Chordata; Mammalia; Primates; Hominidae
Description: HSALNT0153861
Source: RNAcentral
CUUUACCUUGGCUUCAAAACAACCCUAUGAGGUAGGUACUAUGAUUGUCUCUGUUUUGCAUAUGAGUAAACUGAGGCUCAGAGAAUGAAUCAGUGUGUGUCAGAUCACAGAGAGAGGAACUGGGGCAGAGCUGGAAUGUCUCAACAGGCCUGUGAACCCUUAGCCAGGCUGGUAAUACUCUGGAAUGACAAGAAAAUGCACCUUCUUAGGGCUGUGGUUAAAUUAAACAGUAACAUAUGCAAAGCUGAGCAUAUAAGAGAAGAAGCACUUCUGGAGAAGUUGUCAAUGGACAACGAAGAUCACUGAAGCUAGGAGGCUGGCAACAUGCUGCUGGGGACGAGACCCUGGGCAGAUGCUGCCAGAACUCAGAAUGCUCUGUCCUCAGAGAUUCACAAGCCUGAGUGGGGCCUGUUUCUCAUUUCCAGUCCCCAGGUGUGGUUUCGAGAAGAGGCUUCAGGAAGGGAAAGCUGACCAGGGAGAUGGUUUCUGAAAGGAUGUGUCUUUCUGGACCAGAGGAAACAAGCCACAAGCUGGGUGGAAGACAAGCCAUACGCCUGCUGUAGAAAUAUUCCUGCUCCAUGUUUCCUUUUUGCCCUCUGGACUGAGUCCUUUUGACGAAAGAACACUCAGAACCUGCUGAGCUUUGGGCUGGCACUGGGAUUCACUCACUCUCAGGGAAAUCACCUGUGGGAUUCCCAUAUGUAAAACACACCUCAAAUUGGAGCCACCUGCGUGAAGGAGGUUUCAUGAACACCGAAAACACCAGCCUUUGGCUUUUCCUCAGUGAGAGCCCACAGCGCCUCCUUGUGGACUAUCUGAUAAACUGGAACCAGUUCUCGCAGGGCUGAAGGACGGUGGUCACCUAGAGGCAUUGCCCAGGAUCUGCACUGCGCUGUCCACCCAGGAAUUACUCUGUUUUCUUCUACUUUUAAAUAAAUUUGGGAGAUGGGCUGGGUGUGGUGGCUCACACCUGUAAUUUCAGCGUUUUGGAAGACCGAGGCGGGAGGACGGCGUGGGACCAGGAGUUCAUGACUGGCCUGGGCAACACAGUGAGACCCUGUCUCUAUUUUAAACAACGACAACAACAUAUUUAAAAAAUAAAAAUAAGAAAAUAAAUUUGGAAGAUGAACACAUUCUAUUUUAAUUCUGUUAGUGAUCAGUAAAACUGGCUUAAAAGCUGAGUUUCCUUUGGUUCCCUUUUGUUUUAUAAAAAAUGUCUGUGUGUACCUUUGUCAACAGCCUGAAUCCUAUGAAUCACAGGUUCCCCUGGGGAAGAUGGGGGUUUGAGUUUGGUUUCUUACUUGUGUUUAUAGGGUUCUGGGCAACUUGGGAGGGCGAGACACUAUGCCCUCAUGGGAUAACACUAAUU